UACGUAGGGAGCAAGCGUUGUCCGGAUUUACUGGGUGUAAAGGGUGCGUAGGCGGGCUUGCAAGUCAGAAGUGAAAUCUAUGGGCUUAACCCAUAAACUGCUUUUGAAACUGUAAGUCUUGAGUGAAGUAGAGGUAGACGGAAUUCCCGGUGUAGCGGUGAAAUGCGUAGAGAUCGGGAGGAACACCAGUGGCGAAGGCGGCUCUCUGGUCUGCAACUGACGCUGAGGCUCGAAAGCAUGGGUAGCGAACAGG
RNAcentral lists this ribosomal RNA (253 nucleotides) under uncultured Ruminococcus sp. RNAcentral's name for it is "partial 16S ribosomal RNA". It matches the Rfam family "Bacterial small subunit ribosomal RNA", at positions 524 to 776 of the family's 1533-position model. Lineage: Bacteria; Bacillati; Bacillota; Clostridia; Eubacteriales; Oscillospiraceae. The record is from RNAcentral.